UCAAGAGCAGCUCCCGCCAUCACUGUCAUGGACUGGUUUGAGGACAGCCGGCUGGACGUGUGUGUAUGAGCUGCACGUUUGGCUGCUGGCAGCUGACCGCCACAGUGUCAUCGCUCAGCACCACGUGGCACCCCGCACCUCUGAGAGGGGCCCUCCUGGCCGCUGGGUCCAGGUGUCCCACGUGUUCCGCCAGUACGGCCCCGGCGUGCGCUUCGUCCACUUCCUGCACAAGACCAAGGACCGCGCGGAGCCCGGGGGGCUGCGGCGCACAAGGGUGACCGACUCCUCCGUGUCCGUGCAGUUCAGGGAGGGGGCUGUGUGACCUCGUCUCCUCCCCAAUGUGGGACCUCACACGCCCCAACGCCUGCCUCCUUGGAGUUCCCCUGCACGCUCGGGGCUCCAGAGGCCAGGGGCCACUCCUCCCAAGGCAGUGCUUGGCACAUAGUAGGUGCUCAAUAAAUCCUUGUUGACUAAACCAAUCAGCACCUGUGCCCAAGGA
This is a long non-coding RNA of Pipistrellus kuhlii (Kuhl's pipistrelle), 499 nucleotides long. RefSeq lists it as uncharacterized. The record is from RefSeq and is a predicted model, not a curated record. NCBI's taxonomy places the organism in Eukaryota, Metazoa, Chordata, Mammalia, Chiroptera, Vespertilionidae. The transcript is spliced from 3 exons.